RNAcentral lists this long non-coding RNA (4026 nucleotides) under Homo sapiens (human). Its description in RNAcentral is "PREDICTED lncRNA (TCONS_00050710)". Lineage: Eukaryota; Metazoa; Chordata; Mammalia; Primates; Hominidae. The record is from RNAcentral.
GAGACACACUACAACAGGAGAGGGAGCAAGCGCGAGAGGAUAUUAGAAGAGAGGCUUGUCUCCAAGAUAUGGAAGGAAGUGAGAAAUGACAGGGCUGCAAGCUUUGUAUGUAGGAGCCCGGCAGGGCGGGGGAGCGGCGAGGAGAGCCAAGUGGAUUCUCAGAAAAGGGGGGAAGCCAUCGAAGAGCUAAAGGUGAUUAGAGGGGGAUAUUGAUUUCUUAUUCUGCCAGAGAUUUAAGCAGGCAUGCGAGGAAUCUGCACCAUGGUUGGCAAAAAGAGACCCGUUGCCUCCUGUAACCAGACACUCAGGCUUUCCAGGAGCCCAGGGAGCAAGCCGAGAAGAAAGGGGGCAGUGUGGUCUAGGAAAAUUCAACUUGUCGCUGAUUUGUGCCUGAUGCCUGCUGUCCGUCAGCAGCCUCCCUUACAAUCUUUUUUUCUCUCUCUCCUUUUUUUUUCCUUGCCUUCUCCUUCUUCACUGAAGCCUAGGGGAGCCAGUAAAGAUUAAAUGUGCUUCUCAAAGGCAGCCACUUCAUGCUGCUAUGUCGAAAGGGCCAUUAUUAUUAUUAUAUUUUAAUGGUAAAAGAGAAAAGGAGAGAGGUUGAGCGAGCGAGAGAGAAGCUAGGUGUGAUGAUGACAGACUAGCUUUUCUGAGAGGAAAAGGAAAAGGGAAGGGAGAGAAAAAGGAGAGCCUCUGAGCUCAACGGAGGAUUGUGCCUGAGAAGAACCCACAGAGGAAAGCCCCACUUCCAGUCUGAUGAGGAAAGCGACAAUCUAUCAGGUACAGAACCAGGGGCUGUCUGCGAAGAUGGAGGGGAAUUAUGCUUCGGAUUCCUCUGAAAUAUUGGCCAAAGGCUUCAAAGAAUCCGCAGCGGGAGGUGCGGGGGGAAUGUCUCUCCCCAGCCCGCACCCAGCCCUUCCCACUUCGUGUCUACCAAAUGACAGCCUGGUGCUCGCUCUUGGUGAUUUGGCCUUGACUUCAGCCAAGCAGCUGAUGCAGACGAAGCCUCCGUUUGCAGGACUGGCAAAGUGCACGCUAAAGAAAGAAGGAAGAAAUUUUUCAAAAAGCAGCUCUGGGGAGGUUUCAUACUCCCCCCCCCCCCCCGCCUUUUUUUAAUUUUUAAGUGAAUAUUUUCCAAAUUUGAUCAGUUCCAGCCCCUCCCUCCACUCCCACCCAACUGCCCUUUUUUCUCUCGUCAAAGCAUAAGCUACAGAGUUACAGUCUCGAGAUUUGGUGUAUCGCUUCCUGCCCCCGCCUCCCCUCCCCGCCCCCGUUCUCCGUCCUCUAUUGAAACACCUCGCCCAGCCUAGCGCACUGAGAGCUCUCAUUUUCCCCCCUUGCUCGGGAUGGUGCCACAGGAGGCUGUGCGGGCCCCGCUCCGCUUCGAAUGGUUGUGUUGAUGUUCCUUUCAGCUGGUCCUAUAGUACCCCUCCUCAGGAAUGUCUCCCCAGUGCAAGGACAAAGACUGAAGAGACUGCUAUAUUGAUGGACUCUCAAGCCAACUAUGAAGUUGAAACAAAGAAAGUGAUCACCUGAAGACACCUCCUCUGCUAAGAAACACCCCCAAAUUGUGCAGCUUCUGCCACUAGAACUCUCAGAACAAGAGACAAUCUUUUCAAGAAACAGAAAAACUCAAUAAUGACAUCUAGAUUUUCAUGAGCCAAGAACUUUCCCUUCCUCAUGUGUAUUCCUCUGUUUGUACUUAAAUUCAUGUGACAUUCAUUUUUUUCCUAGUAUGGAUAUGCUUAUUAAUGCACUUGUUUCAAAAUCCCAAAUUGCACAAAUGUGUUAAUAUUUUAAGAAACAAAAUGAAUCCUACAAGGAGAAUGAUUUUUAGCCACACAUAGGGUUGGAUCUUGAGAGUGACCUACAGAAUAAAAGUACUUUUAAAAUAAAGUAGUCAGAGGCUAUUCAAAGGGUAAAAUAAUCAUAGUACCACAUUGGUCCACUUGACACUAACCAAUCGAUCAUUUUUUUUUAAUCAAGAAAGCUAGAUUCUAUCAGAUAAAAUCACUGCUUCUAAAGAGUUUAAAUCUAGUUAGAAAAAGUUAUAGAAAUGUUUGCAAAGAUAAGUAACAGAUAGAGUCAGUAGAGGAUAAGAUCAAAAACAAAACCAAGCAAAAGAUGAGUUCAGGGGAGUUUGCCAUCAAGUUGGCAAAACUGACUUACUUAGGGAAGAAAGUUAUAAAACAGGAAAAUAUGAGAUGAACCUUGAGUGAUGUGGAAGAUUUAGAUAAAUGGAAAGGAAGGAGAAAAUGGAGUUCUUUAGGUGGUUGUAAUUGGAGGAGGAAAUGAAUACACACAUCUUGUUGACUUAAACCCAGACAUUCAGCAGCUCUCUAUACAUAUCUGGAAAAGACUGCACAGUCACCUCCUGUCUCUCACCCCAGGUAUUACUUAGAAUUAUUAUCAUAUUUCCCUUCCUUUAAAGUAAGUAAGGGUGAUUGGUGACAAUAUGGAGAACUAUGAUUUUUCCAUUAACCUAAUAAUAAUUGGUAUUUAUUGAGUUCUGUUAAGCAUUUUACAUAUUAACUCACUUAAGCCUUUCAACAGCCUUGCAAAAUAGGUAUUAUUAUCCCCAUUUUACAGGCAAGAAAACUGAGGUUUAAGUAACUUGCCGAAGUGCCAUAUACAGGGCUCACAUUCAGUAUUGCAGUUGCAAAGCUCAUGAUCUAUAGUGCCAAGUUGCAAUAUUGUAGUCAAUGUCACAAUUAUUACCCCUUUUUAUAUUCCUUGAUAUUUUUCCAUGGCAAACAAUUAGCUAUUUCAUUUAAUAAUCACCUAAAACUUUUCAGUCUUCUGAUUAAAAUUACGCUGGAGUGAUAGAAUGUAUUUUCAUGAUAGAAAUUGGGAAAAAAAAUGGGGAAUGAAGUUUAUCAGCAUUUCAGACUUGUUUUUUUUUUUUUUUUUUGCAAGACUUUGAUGAGAUUGUUCACUUUUGUCUAUGUAAAAUCCCAAAUCCUUGAGAAUAAAAAAGGGGGAGGUUUAAGUCACUUGUUGCAAUGCCCUUUUUAAUAGAGGCAAUAAAUCUAAAGGCCAUAAAUUUAGAGUGACUUACAGAAGAUCGAACUUUGGAGUGUGGCAGAGUAAGGGAUGGAAACCGGGCCCUCCAGUUCACUAUCAGUAGCUUUUGCACUGGUCUGCCCUUCCUAAAUUAAGUAUGCACUUCAAUUUGAUGAGUGGAAACAGUCUAUCUGGGCAGUAACCAGGGAGCUUUGUGCCUAGUAGAUUGCUUCUGUUCUGCACUUCUUUGGUUUCCCACCUCAAUGUAAAAAAUAGCUAGCAAUGAAGUCCAGAAGUUGUCAAUGGUUCAUCCCCAGAAGAAUGCAUAAUGUCCAAAGUUGUAUGUGUAUGAUGUCUUCAAUGGUAUUAAGUUAUUUCAAAUUCUUAGUUCACCUACAUAAAUCAUUUCUAACAAGCAUCUUCUUAACCAACUUUAUGCACAGUGUAUGUUUGUAAGUGCUUCUGCACGAAUGUUUAUACAUGACUGUUUCCAUAGUACUUAUGUUUUUAAAAAUAUUCAGUCAUUUCCUACUAUAAUCCUCAUGUAUCCAUGUAACUGACUCAAAAAUACUUCAGCCACAGAAAGCUAAAACUGAGCAAAUCUCAUUCUUCUUUUCCAUCCCCUUUGCAUGUGGCUGGCAUUUAGUAAUGAUUAAUAAUAUGGCCAGCUGAAUAACAGAGGUUUGAGACACAAUUCUUUCUCAAAGGAGUCAGCUAAGCUGGGUCUACUUAUGGACAAACAUCUAAAUGUGUGGAAGUAUCUGAUAUUUGACAAUGGUAAAUUUCCACUUAGCUAGCUAGCAUUGUCAGACUUCAAUCUCCUCAUGGCUCUGGCCGUCCUGUUUUAAGCAUGAUAAUUGUUGGCCACAUCUCACAUAGUUCUCAUUGAGUGAGUUCAUAAAUAAACAGGGUUUUUUUUUUUUUUUAAAGAGCAGCCAAGCACAAAGUGUGACUUUGUUGACAUUUUAUGUGACUUUGUCAUAUGUUCCUAACCCCCAAUAAAAGCAAUGUUGCAUCAACUGUGAA